CCUGAUUGAUCCUGCUAGUAGUCAUAUGCUUGUCUCAAAGAUAAAGUCAUGCAUUAUAAAUAUGAACAAAUUCAAACCAUGAAACUGUGAAUGGUUCAUUAAAUCAGUUAUUGUUUGCUUGAUGGUACAUGUUACUCGGAUAACCAUAGUAAUUCUAGAGCUAUAAACACAAAAAAUAGGCUUCUGGUAUUGAUGCAUUUAUUAGAUAAAAUGCCAACAUGGGCUCUGCUAGCUGCUUCGAUGAUUCAUGAUAACUUGACAGAUCACAAGGCCUUCAUGUCGGCAACGCACAUUCAAAUUUCGGUCCUAUCAACUUUUGAUCGUAGGAUCGAGCCUACCAUGUUUGUGAUGGGUGAUGAAGAAUUAGGUUUGAUUUAGGAGAGGGAGCAUGAUAAACAGCUACCACAUCCAAGGAAGGCAACAGACAUGCAAAUUACCCAAUCCUUCCAUGGAGAGAUAGUGACAAUAAAUAACAAUAUAGGGCUUAUUCGAGCCCAGUAAUUAGAAUAAGUACAAUCUAAAUUCCUUAAUGAGGAUCCAUUGGGCAAGUCUAAUACGAACGACCAUGGUAAUUCUAGCUCUAAUAGCAUAUAUUUAAGUUGUUGUAGUUAAAAAGCUUAUAGUUUGACCUUGAGCUGGAUUAGUCGGUCUGCUUUAGGGUGUUUACCAGCUGUCUCAACCCUUCUGCCGGCAAUGCCCUCUUGGCCUUAACUAGCUUAGCCAUGCCUCUGGUGCUAUUGCUUUGAAGAAAUUAGAGUGCUCAAAACAAGCCUACGCGUUGUAUACAUUAGCAUGUGAUAAUAUCAUAGGGUUUCUGUCUUAUUGUGUUGGCCUUUGAGAUUGGAGUAAUGACUAAGAGGGAUAGUCGGGUGCAUUCAUACCUUGUAUUCAGGGUUGAAAUUAUUGGAUUUAUGAAAAAUGAAAAACUAUGAAAGCAUUUGCCAAGGAUGUUUUCAUUACUCAAGAAUGAAAGUUGAGGGCUCAAAGACGAUCAACUAUUGUCCUAAUCUCAAACAAAAACGAUGCCGACUAGGGAUUAAUAUAUGUUUCUUUUAGGACUCCGCUAGUACUUUAUGAGAAAUUAAAGUUUUUGGGGGCGAGAAUGGUUGCAAGGCUGAAACUUAAAGGAAUUACUAGAUGAGCAACUCCAAGAGUGGAGCAUACAGCUUAAUUUGGCUCAACAAGGGGAAUUGACAGACUGAGAGCUCUUUCUUGAUUCUAUGGGUGGUGAUGCACAAUCAUUCUUAGUUGUUGGAGUGAUUUGUCUAUUUAGUUUCUAUGGGUGGUGAUGCACAUUCAAGAGCAGCUAUAACCUGCCAAUCCAAAAUAGACCAAUACAGAAGCUAAUGAUGCCUUUUGGGCCAUAGUUAACCACCAGACUACCUUGAUUGAACAGUGCACAAACUUGGCUAAACCUAGUAGCCACGAAGAGGGCUCUCAAUCUGACGACCCUGAAUUUGACCCUUCUUAUGUGCCUUAUUAUAACAAGGGUGGACAUGACGAUCUCCAUCAGAGUCUGUC
This 1521-nucleotide ribosomal RNA is filed under the name Asparagus officinalis (garden asparagus). Its description in RNAcentral is "SSU rRNA". It matches the Rfam family "Eukaryotic small subunit ribosomal RNA", at positions 3 to 1426 of the family's 1831-position model. The record is from RNAcentral. Lineage: Eukaryota; Viridiplantae; Streptophyta; Magnoliopsida; Asparagales; Asparagaceae.